Ameiurus melas (black bullhead) is the source of this 70-nucleotide non-coding RNA. Lineage: Eukaryota; Metazoa; Chordata; Actinopteri; Siluriformes; Ictaluridae. The record is from the annotation of a GenBank genome assembly.
GCAUGGUGGUUUAGGGGUUAGCACGUUUGCCUCACACCUCCAGGGUCGGGGGUUUGACUCCCACCAUGCU